This is a transfer RNA of Ovis aries (sheep), 72 nucleotides long. It matches the Rfam family "tRNA". From Rfam's summary of the family: Transfer RNA (tRNA) molecules are approximately 80 nucleotides in length. Their secondary structure includes four short double-helical elements and three loops (D, anti-codon, and T loops). NCBI's taxonomy places the organism in Eukaryota, Metazoa, Chordata, Mammalia, Artiodactyla, Bovidae. The record is from Rfam.
UUCCUGGUGGCUCAGACAGCAAAGCGUCUGCCUAUAAUGCAGGAGACCCGGGUUCAAUCCCUGGGUUGGGAA